UCCAGACGGCCCUCGGCUGUCAGAUGCUUCUGGAGAAUCCGUCCACCUACGUCGCGUUCGCCGAGAGCACCUACGCGGAGACCGAUUUCAUCGCCGAAGUCGCCAGGCGCAGCGGUUGUGGCAAUAACGUUUUCGUCGCGUCGACCAAUCAGCAGUGGGAUCCGGUCGCCUAUAUCGAAGGCUAUCCGCUCGCGAGCGUGAAGGAGAUCCACCUCGCCGGGAACGACCGGCAGGCCNNNNNNUCUCAUCGAUACUCACGAUCGUCCGGUCGAGGAUGCCGUCUGGUAUCUCUACGAACUCG
RNAcentral lists this unclassified non-coding RNA (301 nucleotides) under Hevea brasiliensis (rubber tree). The record is from RNAcentral. Lineage: Eukaryota; Viridiplantae; Streptophyta; Magnoliopsida; Malpighiales; Euphorbiaceae.